RNAcentral lists this ribosomal RNA (275 nucleotides) under uncultured Funneliformis. RNAcentral's name for it is "partial 28S ribosomal RNA". The record is from RNAcentral. Lineage: Eukaryota; Fungi; Glomeromycota; Glomeromycetes; Glomerales; Glomeraceae.
UUUAAAAGCCUUCGGAUUUUCGAGAUUGGGCUCUUCUGAUGUACUUUCUCGUACGGUUAGUCAACAUCGGUUUUGAAUGUCAUAAAAUGACUGGAGGAAUGUGGCUUCGAUCUCGUAUUGAAGUGUUAUAACCUUUGGUAGAUGUGAUGUUUGAGACCGAGGAUUGCAACGGAUACCCUUCUGGGCUAUUCGUCUGAUCUCUGAAACGUUGCCUUGAUGUCGAAAGCUUGCUUAUGAUGCUAGGUAAUACGGUCAAAAGGUUAGAACGGAUUAAA